GAUGAACGCUGGCGGCGUGCCUAAUACAUGCGAGUCGAGCGAACAGACGAGGAGCUUGCUCCUCUGACGUUAGCGGCGGACGGGUGAGUAACACGUGGAUAACCUACCUAUAAGACUGGGAUAACUUCGGGAAACCGGAGCUAAUACCGGAUAAUAUAUUGAACCGCAUGGUUCAAUAGUGAAAGACGGUUUUGCUGUCACUUAUAGAUGGAUCCGCGCCGCAUUAGCUAGUUGGUAAGGUAACGGCUUACCAAGGCAACGAUGCGUAGCCGACCUGAGAGCGUGAUCGGCCACACUGGAACUGAGACACGGCCCAGACUCCUACGGGAGGCAGCAGUAGGGAAUCUUCCGCAAUGGGCGAAAGCUUGACGGAGCAACGCCGCGUGAGUGAUGAAGGUCUUCGGAUCGUAAAACUCUGUUAUUAGGGAAGAACAAAUGUGUAAGUAACUAUGCACGUCUUGACGGUACCUAAUCAGAAAGCCACGGCUAACUACGUG
Molecule: ribosomal RNA, 497 nt
Filed under: uncultured bacterium
Lineage: Bacteria
Description: partial 16S ribosomal RNA
Rfam family: Bacterial small subunit ribosomal RNA
Source: RNAcentral